UACGGAGGGUGCUAGCGUUGUUCGGAAUUACUGGGCGUAAAGGGCGCGUAGGCGGCCGUUUGCGUCGGAUGUGAAAGCCCGGGGCUCAACCUCGGAACGGCAUUCGAUACGGGACGGCUGGAGACCGGGAGAGGAGAGUGGAAUAGCCAGUGUAGAGGUGAAAUUCGUAGAGAUCGGCAGGAACACCCGUGGCGCAAGCGGCCACCUAGCCCACACCUGACGCUGAGGCGCGACAGCGUGGGGAGCGAACUGG
Molecule: ribosomal RNA, 253 nt
Filed under: uncultured bacterium
Lineage: Bacteria
Description: partial 16S ribosomal RNA
Rfam family: Bacterial small subunit ribosomal RNA
Source: RNAcentral